UACGGAGGAUGCAAGCGUUAUCCGGAAUGAUUGGGCGUAAAGGGUCCGCAGGUUGCAAUAUAAGUCUGCUGUUAAAGAGUGAGGCUCAACCUCAUAAGAGCAGUGGAAACUACAUAGCUAGAGUACGUUCGGGGCAGAGGGAAUUCCUGGUGUAGCGGUGAAAUGCGUAGAUAUCAGGAAGAACACCGGUGGCGAAAGCGCUCUGCUAGGCCGUAACUGACACUGAGGGACGAAAGCUAGGGGAGCGAAUGGG
This 253-nucleotide ribosomal RNA is filed under the name uncultured bacterium. Its description in RNAcentral is "partial 16S ribosomal RNA". It matches the Rfam family "Bacterial small subunit ribosomal RNA", at positions 524 to 776 of the family's 1533-position model. The record is from RNAcentral.